This 305-nucleotide ribosomal RNA is filed under the name uncultured bacterium. Its description in RNAcentral is "bacterial SSU rRNA". It matches the Rfam family "Bacterial small subunit ribosomal RNA", at positions 338 to 659 of the family's 1533-position model. The record is from RNAcentral.
CCUAUGGGACGCAGCAGUGGGGAAUAUUGCGCAAUGGACGAAAGUCUGACGCAGCGACGCCGCGUGAGGGAUGAAGGUUUUCGGAUCGUAAAGCCCUGUCAGCGGGGAAGAAGAAAGACGGUACCCGACCAAGAAGCCCCGGCUAACUACGUGCCAGCAGCCGCGGUAAUACGUAGGGGGCGAGCGUUAUCCGGAAUUACUGGGUGUAAAGGGAGCGUAGACGGCGAGGUAAGCCUGAAGUGGAAGCCCGCGGCCCAACCGCGGAACUGCUUUGGGAACUGUUUUGCUGGAGUAUGGGAGGGGUA